GGAUCAAUUUGUUGGUCGUGCCUCGGUACGUACUGGCAUUAUUGGUUUCUACCUUCUGAAGAACCUUGAUGUCAUUAAUUUGGUGUCUUGGGGAAUCAGGACUGUUACUUUGAAAAAAUUAGAGUGUUUAAAGCAGGCAUACGCUUGAAUACAUUAGCAUGGAAUAAUGAAAUAGGACGUUUGAUUCUAUUUUGUUGGUUUCUAGGAUCGACGUAAUGAUUA
This 222-nucleotide ribosomal RNA is filed under the name uncultured Glomeromycotina. RNAcentral describes it as "partial 18S ribosomal RNA". The stretch from base 46 to 222 matches the Rfam family "Eukaryotic small subunit ribosomal RNA", at positions 693 to 871 of the family's 1831-position model. Lineage: Eukaryota; Fungi; Glomeromycota. The record is from RNAcentral.